RNAcentral lists this small RNA (524 nucleotides) under Pongo abelii (Sumatran orangutan). RNAcentral describes it as "processed transcript". Lineage: Eukaryota; Metazoa; Chordata; Mammalia; Primates; Hominidae. The record is from RNAcentral.
CAGAGUUACAAGCACCUUUUCCAGCCGGUUAUCAACCAGGUAGUGGACUUCUACCAACCCACGUGCAUUGUGCUCCAGUGUGGAGCUGACUCUCUGGGCUGUGAUCGAUUGGGCUGCUUUAACCUCAGCAUCCGAGGGCAUGGGGAAUGUGUUGAAUAUGUCAAGAGCUUCAAUAUCCCUCUACUCGUGCUGGGUGGUGGUGGUUAUACUGUCCGAAAUGUUGCCCGCUGCUGAAUACUUCGAGUACUUUGCCCCAGACUUCACACUUCAUCCAGAUGUCAGCACCCGCAUCGAGAAUCAGAACUCACGCCAGUAUCUGGACCAGAUCCGCCAGACAAUCUUUGAAAACCUGAAGAUGCUGAACCAUGCACCUAGUGUCCAGAUUCAUGACGUGCCUGCAGACCUCCUGACCUAUGACAGGACUGAUGAGGCUGAUGCAGAGGAGAGGGGUCCUGAGGAGAACUAUAGCAGGCCAGAGGCACCCAAUGAGUUCUAUGAUGGAGACCAUGACAAUGACAAGGAAA